Long non-coding RNA from Suricata suricatta (meerkat), 561 nucleotides. RefSeq lists it as uncharacterized. The record is from RefSeq and is a predicted model, not a curated record. Lineage: Eukaryota; Metazoa; Chordata; Mammalia; Carnivora; Herpestidae. The transcript has 2 exons.
GUCCUGUGACAGGACAGCGAGGUUUCUCUUAAGCUUCCGAAGGAAAAAAAAAAAAAACAGCUCUCUCCCUCUCCCAGCGAAACGGGACACCACCUUUCCCAGUGGCCUAAGGCCUUGGCGAUUGAACUUUGCUGCUGCGCUCAUUCUGAGGGAAGAACGACGGCCUGGCCGGUAACAAAGGCGCCAGUCUGCAGGUGGAGAGACGGAGUCGCAGAGGCGGGAACUGAAGGAGGACCAAAGAGAACCAACAAGUCGAUGUGUGCCAUGGCCCGAGGUAGCUUAGAGCGUCCGUUUCUUGGAUCUAGGAGCUCCAGGUGACCACUGGCCCAGGCUCGCGCUGCGCUGUGGCCCAGCAAACUAGGCCUAAGGAAAGGAGACCAGCCUUUGCCGUCAGAGCGACCCUCAUUCCAAGCCAACGCCGUCAUUGGUAGCCAAGCCUGACUUUCCUCACCUGUAAAACUGCGAGUCUAAAACAGAAUGUUGUGACGCGGACAGGAAACAGUCUGCUCUGCCGGCUCUGUGAAUUUAACGUGAAUUCCAAGUAAACGUGAAUUUACUUAA